Molecule: ribosomal RNA, 301 nt
Filed under: uncultured bacterium
Lineage: Bacteria
Description: partial 16S ribosomal RNA
Rfam family: Bacterial small subunit ribosomal RNA
Source: RNAcentral
CAGCCGCCGCGGGAAUACGAAGGGCGCAAGCGUUAAUCGGAAUUACUGGGCGUAAAGCGUGCGUAGGCGGUGAGUUAAGUCUGUUGUGAAAUCCCCGGGCUCAACCUGGGAAUGGCAAUGGAUACUGGCAAGCUAGAGUGUGUCAGAGGAUGGUGGAAUUCCCGGUGUAGCGGUGAAAUGCGUAGAGAUCGGGAGGAACAUCAGUGGCGAAGGCGGCCAUCUGGGACAACACUGACGCUGAGGCACGAAAGCGUGGGGAGCAAACAGGAUUAGAUACCCGCGUAGUCCCUGUCUCUUAUAA